Molecule: long non-coding RNA, 65 nt
Organism: Amblyraja radiata (thorny skate)
Lineage: Eukaryota; Metazoa; Chordata; Chondrichthyes; Rajiformes; Rajidae
Exons: 3
Source: RefSeq, a predicted model, not a curated record
GACAGCAAAUGUGGUCCUCUUAUUCAAGAAGGGCAGCAGGGAUAAGCCAGAUCAACGGCCUCCAA